This 468-nucleotide ribosomal RNA is filed under the name uncultured bacterium. RNAcentral's name for it is "partial 16S ribosomal RNA". It matches the Rfam family "Bacterial small subunit ribosomal RNA", at positions 28 to 507 of the family's 1533-position model. The record is from RNAcentral.
GACGAACGCUGGCGGCGUGCUUAACACAUGCAAGUCGAACGGAAAGGCCCUGCUUUUGUGGGGUGCUCGAGUGGCGAACGGGUGAGUAACACGUGAGUAACCUGCCCUUGACUUUGGGAUAACUUCAGGAAACUGGGGCUAAUACCGGCUAGGAGCUCCUGCUGCAUGGUGGGGGUUGGAAAGUUUCGGCGGUUGGGGAUGGACUCGCGGCUUGUCAGCUUGUUGGUGGGGUAGUGGCUUACCAAGGCUUUGACGGGUAGCCGGCCUGAGAGGGUGACCGGCCACAUUGGGACUGAGAUACGGCCCAGACUCCUACGGGAGGCAGCAGUGGGGAAUAUUGCACAAUGGGCGGAAGCCUGAUGCAGCAACGCCGCGUGCGGGAUGACGGCCUUCGGGUUGUAAGCCGCUUUCGCCUGUGACGAAGCGUGAGUGACGGUAAUGGGUAAAGAAGCACCGGCUAACUACGUG